This 509-nucleotide ribosomal RNA is filed under the name Salmonella enterica. RNAcentral's name for it is "partial 23S ribosomal RNA". It matches the Rfam family "Bacterial large subunit ribosomal RNA", at positions 962 to 1475 of the family's 2925-position model. The record is from RNAcentral. Lineage: Bacteria; Pseudomonadati; Pseudomonadota; Gammaproteobacteria; Enterobacterales; Enterobacteriaceae.
CCGGAGAAUGUUAUCACGGGAGACACACGGCGGGUGCUAACGUCCGUCGUGAAGAGGGAAACAACCCAGACCGCCAGCUAAGGUCCCAAAGUCAUGGUUAAGUGGGAAACGAUGUGGGAAGGCCCAGACAGCCAGGAUGUUGGCUUAGAAGCAGCCAUCAUUUAAAGAAAGCGUAAUAGCUCACUGGUCGAGUCGGCCUGCGCGGAAGAUGUAACGGGGCUAAACCAUGCACCGAAGCUGCGGCAGCGACACUAUGUGUUGUUGGGUAGGGGAGCGUUCUGUAAGCCUGUGAAGGUGGCCUGUGAGGGUUGCUGGAGGUAUCAGAAGUGCGAAUGCUGACAUAAGUAACGAUAAAGCGGGUGAAAAGCCCGCUCGCCGGAAGACCAAGGGUUCCUGUCCAACGUUAAUCGGGGCAGGGUGAGUCGACCCCUAAGGCGAGGCCGAAAGGCGUAGUCGAUGGGAAACGGGUUAAUAUUCCCGUACUUGGUGUUACUGCGAAGGGGGGACGG